This 468-nucleotide ribosomal RNA is filed under the name uncultured bacterium. RNAcentral's name for it is "partial 16S ribosomal RNA". It matches the Rfam family "Bacterial small subunit ribosomal RNA", at positions 28 to 507 of the family's 1533-position model. The record is from RNAcentral.
GACGAACGCUGGCGGCGUGCUUAACACAUGCAAGUCGAACGGCAAGGCCCUACUUUUUUGGGGUGCUCGAGUGGCGAACGGGUGAGUAACACGUGAGUAACCUGCCCUUGACUUUGGGAUAACUUCAGGAAACUGGGGCUACUACCGGAUAGGAGCUCCUGCUGCAUGGUGGGGGUUGGAAAGUUUCGGCGGUUGGGGAUGGACUCGCGGCUUAUCAGCUUGUUGGUGGGGUAGUGGCUUACCAAGGCUUUGACGGGUAGCCGGCCUGAGAGGGUGACCGGCCACAUUGGGACUGAGAUACGGCCCAGACUCCUACGGGAGGCAGCAGUGGGGAAUAUUGCACAAUGGGCGGAAGCCUGAUGCAGCAACGCCGCGUGCGGGAUGACGGCCUUCGGGUUGUAAACCGCUUUCGCCUGUGACGAAGCGUGAGUGACGGUAAUGGGUAAAGAAGCACCGGCUAACUACGUG